GAUCAUGGCUCAGGAUGAACGCUAGCUACAGGCUUAACACAUGCAAGUCGAGGGGAAACGACAUCGAAAGCUUGCUUUUGAUGGGCGUCGACCGGCGCACGGGUGAGUAACGCGUAUCCAACCUGCCCAUCACUUGGGAAUAACCUUGCGAAAGUAAGACUAAUGCCCAAUGAUAUCCCACGAAGGCAUCCGAAUGGAAUUAAAGAUUUANCGGUGAUGGAUGGGGAUGCGU
RNAcentral lists this ribosomal RNA (232 nucleotides) under uncultured bacterium. RNAcentral's name for it is "partial 16S ribosomal RNA". It matches the Rfam family "Bacterial small subunit ribosomal RNA", at positions 15 to 236 of the family's 1533-position model. The record is from RNAcentral.